This 964-nucleotide long non-coding RNA is filed under the name Theobroma cacao (cacao). Its description in RNAcentral is "long non-coding RNA (TCAC_LNC002121)". The record is from RNAcentral. Lineage: Eukaryota; Viridiplantae; Streptophyta; Magnoliopsida; Malvales; Malvaceae.
UUGAAGAAGUCUAGUCACCUGCUGAAAUUCUAAAGUUGACGAAGAGACUGUUUUAAUCAGCUGCAAUCUAGCUCAGAGUAAGUUCUUAAAGUUUACCUUGUUUUGCUGUUAAACAUUUGUCAAACCGGACACAUGUAAUUUGAUCUUCAUUUGAUAUUCCACUUGGAGCAGCGUCCCUCGAACCAAUUGGCUGUGAUUCACCUUGGUCCAUCCAGCACAUUUCCCUUUAAUCACAGCGUAGUGAAAUUCAUUAAGCCUCGAUGAAGUAAGCAGGGAUGUCAUUUUACAAAGCUGAUGUGGCCAUGACCUGUUUAAGUCAUGCGGAAUUCUAGUAAGUCAAAAAACUUCUAGUAAAGUUAUAAGAGUGGGAACAGUAUGUGCUGAUUUUGAUAAUGGCAGCUCACUUUUUUCACUGCAACCUAGUCCACCCCAUUGUAGCAGGGCAGCUCAAAUUGCAUAGUGUCAAUAGUUAGUUUCUUGAACUUGUUAGAUGGCUUCUUGUGGGAAUUUUAGUUUUCAGAGGAUAUGCAAUUCCUGCAGAUUGGGCUAUUAUGCAUGGCUUUGUACACUGUACCCGUUCAGUUGAAUCCUGUAGUUUGUUUCAAUCAUUUGCAAGGGCAGCUUUUCCUGGCUGAUCAUGUUGAAUUUCAAUGAAAAAGAGACAGUGUACUUAAAAAUAGGUUACCAGCUAGCGAAUAUAUAUAUAUAUAUGUUUGUUUCAAAUUUGUUUUUGUAGACUUUUCCCUCUGUUAAAUUACUCUGUUUCAUUUUUGUGCUAGCUAGGUUGAAUUGCUUUGCUCACUGGUUUCCUUUUUCCAAUGCUUGUGGUUUCCGGACGGUGCUGGGCCCUGGUAGUCGCUGACAACCGUUCCUGGAUUCCUUUUCAAAUAAGGUUACCUCCAUUUCGCCAAAAAAAAAAAAAAUAGAUAUGAAAACUCAACCAUUUCUAAUUAUAAUGACAGGC